ACGCUCGACACCUACGAGAGGCAGCAGUGGGGAAUAUUGGGCAAUGGGCGCAAGCCUGACCCAGCAACGCCGCGUGAAGGAAGAAGGCUUUCGGGUUGUAAACUUCUUUUAUCAGGGAAGAUGAAUGAGACUGUACCUGAUGAAUAAGCCACGGCUAACUACGUACCAGCAGCCGCGGUAAUCUGAGCGGGCUGGCAAGGC
RNAcentral lists this ribosomal RNA (201 nucleotides) under uncultured bacterium. RNAcentral's name for it is "partial 16S ribosomal RNA". It matches the Rfam family "Bacterial small subunit ribosomal RNA", at positions 328 to 539 of the family's 1533-position model. The record is from RNAcentral.